This 253-nucleotide ribosomal RNA is filed under the name uncultured bacterium. RNAcentral describes it as "partial 16S ribosomal RNA". It matches the Rfam family "Bacterial small subunit ribosomal RNA", at positions 524 to 776 of the family's 1533-position model. The record is from RNAcentral.
UACGAAGGGGGCUAGCGUUGUUCGGAAUCACUGGGCGUAAAGCGCACGUAGGCGGACUUUCAAGUCAGGGGUGAAAUCCCGGGGCUCAACCUCGGAAUUGCCUUUGAUACUGUAAGUCUCGAGUCCGGAAGAGGUGGGUGGAAUUCCUAGUGUAGAGGUGAAAUUCGUAGAUAUCAGGAAGAACACCCGUGGCGAAGGCGGCUCUCUGGGACGGUACUGACGCUGAGACGCGAAAGCGUGGGGAGCGAACAGG